This 427-nucleotide ribosomal RNA is filed under the name uncultured bacterium. Its description in RNAcentral is "bacterial SSU rRNA". It matches the Rfam family "Bacterial small subunit ribosomal RNA", at positions 355 to 774 of the family's 1533-position model. The record is from RNAcentral.
UGGGGAAUUUUGGACAAUGGGCGAAAGCCUGAUCCAGCAAUGCCGCGUGUAGGAUGAAGGCCCUCGGGUUGUAAACUACUUUUGUACGGAACGAAAAGCUCUCUUCUAAUAAAGGAGAGUGAUGACGGUACCGUAAGAAUAAGCACCGGCUAACUACGUGCCAGCAGCCGCGGUAAUACGUAGGGUGCGAGCGUUAAUCGGAAUUACUGGGCGUAAAGCGUGCGCAGGCGGUUAUGUAAAACAGAGGUGAAAUCCCCGGGCUCAACCUGGGAACGGCCUUUGUGACUGCAUAGCUAGAGUACGGUAGAGGGGGAUGGAAUUCCGCGUGUAGCAGUGAAAUGCGUAGAUAUGCGGAGGAACACCGAUGGCGAAGGCAAUCCCCUGGACCUGUACUGACGCUCAUGCACGAAAGCGUGGGGAGCAAACA